GUUUUCUCAAAUCCACAUAACUAUAGUGAAAAAAUAAAUAAAUAUAAUGCAAAAUGUAUGUUCAAUUUCUCAUUUCAUGAGUGCCAGCAUUGACUUUCUAAUCCUACCACGGUAUGAAAGAAAUUCUUCUUGCCAUUUAGGCAACGUCGUAAUAAGCGCUGCCCAAUAGAAUGAAGCCCUCUCUCUAAGCCUCUCCUCUUCAGUUAUCACCAUAGUAAAACGUAGCUCCACUCCGUAAUCUGUGAGUUCCUCGUUGCCAAUACAGGUGCAAGUACAACGCAACAUGGUUCGUAAGUGCGAAAUAUGUGGAAAGGACGGAAAAAUCUCAUCCGGAUUUAUCCCUCCAUAGUCCAUAGGUGAAUCAACCUGCAGUGUGAUGUUGUUCAGUGGCGUCGCACGUGGCAGCAAACAUGUAUUAUUUUGAUAUCUUUUAUAUGAAUCACAUAAAAUGUGUAUAUACCUGUUCACGCAAGAACUACUUGUGAAAUUUUUUGUAAUUUUAUAUGUUAAUAGGAAUUUUUCUCAACAUUUUUUGUGGGCUUAAUAAUAAAAAUAAUAAUAUUCAUCACUUGAAAAAGCCCAGAUCAUGUAAAAACUUUUUUAUUGCA
Coccinella septempunctata (seven-spotted ladybird) is the source of this 608-nucleotide long non-coding RNA. RefSeq lists it as uncharacterized. The transcript is spliced from 2 exons. The record is from RefSeq and is a predicted model, not a curated record. Lineage: Eukaryota; Metazoa; Arthropoda; Insecta; Coleoptera; Coccinellidae.